UCCGUAGGCGGGCGUCUAAGUCAGUGGUGAAAUCUUACAGCUCAACUGUAAAAUCGCCAUUGAUACUGGAUGUCUUGAAUUAGUGUGAAGUGGUUAGAAUGUGUAGUGUAGCGGUGAAAUGCAUAGAUAUUACACAGAAUACCAAUUGCGAAGGCAGAUCACUAACACUAUAUUGACGCUGAGGGACGAAAGCGUGGGGAGCGAACAGGAUUAGAUACCCUGGUAGUCC
This 229-nucleotide ribosomal RNA is filed under the name uncultured bacterium. RNAcentral's name for it is "partial 16S ribosomal RNA". It matches the Rfam family "Bacterial small subunit ribosomal RNA", at positions 568 to 796 of the family's 1533-position model. The record is from RNAcentral.